GAUGAACGCUGGCGGCGUGCCUAAUACAUGCAAGUCGAACGGUAAGGUUCUGCACUCAGUAUUUGACUCUAGUAAGUCUCGCUUUUAGUGAGAUACUGCCUGAAAAAAUAGAUCUCUGGCUAGAGAUAUGUUGUCGAAUAAUGAGUGUAGAAUACACGAGUGGCGGACGGCUGAGUAACGCGUAGGAACGUACCCCAAAGUGAGGAAUAACCUCGAGAAAUCGAGGCUAAUACCGCAUGUGCUCUAAGGAGUAAAGCUUCGGCGCUUUGGGAACGGCCUGCGUAUGAUUAGCUAGUUGGUGAGGUAAUGGCUCACCAAGGCGACGAUCAUUAGCUGGUCUGAGAGGAUGAUCAGCCAGACUGGGACUGAGACACGGCCCAGACUCCUACGGGAGGCAGCAGUAGGGAAUUUUCCACAAUGGACGAAAGUCUGAUGGAGCAACGCCGCGUGCAGGAUGAAGGCCUUAGGGUC
RNAcentral lists this ribosomal RNA (471 nucleotides) under uncultured bacterium. Its description in RNAcentral is "bacterial SSU rRNA". It matches the Rfam family "Bacterial small subunit ribosomal RNA", at positions 28 to 424 of the family's 1533-position model. The record is from RNAcentral.